Molecule: long non-coding RNA, 153 nt
Organism: Hibiscus syriacus
Lineage: Eukaryota; Viridiplantae; Streptophyta; Magnoliopsida; Malvales; Malvaceae
Exons: 3
Source: RefSeq, a predicted model, not a curated record
UGUAUCAACAGGAAUUUCAAGACGCAAAAUCCUCUUCACGGUGUAUGAACUAGGACUUGCUGGGGCACCUUGCCAAUCCAUUGACAUCCCAGGUGGUCCGCUCAGUCUCUGUCAAAAUACAAAAAAGAAACGGCUUCGGCACAAAAGAAGAGA